This 484-nucleotide ribosomal RNA is filed under the name uncultured bacterium. RNAcentral describes it as "partial 16S ribosomal RNA". It matches the Rfam family "Bacterial small subunit ribosomal RNA", at positions 30 to 507 of the family's 1533-position model. The record is from RNAcentral.
AUUGAACGCUGGCGGCAGGCCUAACACAUGCAAGUCGAGCGGCUGAAGGGAGCUUGCUCCUGGAUUCAGCGGCGGACGGGUGAGUAAUGCCUAGGAAUCUGCCUGGUAGUGGGGGAUAACGUCCGGAAACGGGCGCUAAUACCGCAUACGUCCUGAGGGUGAAAGUGGGGGAUCUUCGGACCUCACGCUAUCAGAUGAGCCUAGGUCGGAUUAGCUAGUUGGUGGGGUAAAGGCCUACCAAGGCGACGAUCCGUAGCUGGUCUGAGAGGAUGAUCAGUCACACUGGAACUGAGACACGGUCCAGACUCCUACGGGAGGCAGCAGUGGGGAAUAUUGGACAAUGGGCGAAAGCCUGAUCCAGCCAUGCCGCGUGUGUGAAGAAGGUCUUCGGAUUGUAAAGCACUUUAAGUUGGGAGGAAGGGCAGUGAGUUAAUACCUUGCUGUGUUGACGGUACCAGCAGAAUAAGCACCGGCUAACUUCGUG